Long non-coding RNA from Solanum dulcamara, 1350 nucleotides. RefSeq lists it as uncharacterized. The transcript has 2 exons. The record is from RefSeq and is a predicted model, not a curated record. Lineage: Eukaryota; Viridiplantae; Streptophyta; Magnoliopsida; Solanales; Solanaceae.
CUACAUUUUGCAAAAAGGAAUAAUAUUUGCUUUUGAGAAUCAGCCUUGUUGAAGUGCACCGUGGACUUGAACUUCGCCGUGUCUCGAGCUUCGGCGGAGCCAUGGAAUGGUGGAGAGGCUGCAAACUCGACUCCUCCAACGCAUAUCGAACCUGGAAUCUUUUCUUCUCUCUAUAUCAACUUCCAACACCACCAAUGAUCGCCUUUCCGGCAUUCUUCGCGCGAACGGCGUCAAUGAUUUCAGCUUCAAGCGCGUCCCGUCUGAUUAGUAUGAUUGGACGCUCGAAGCCCGAUGUGACAGUGUCAGUGCAGCAUCCAUUCACUAUCUCUGCAAAAGCAUCAUUCUGAAUAAGCAGAAGAAGGUUGCUUACAUUUCAGUACAAGCUUGGUAUUUGCUACAGUAUUGUAUAAAUGCAAAACGAUAUCUAGCUUUUUGGAUGGUGAAAGACGAAAAUUAGUAAUAAGGUAUCAAUUGGACAGGGAAAAUGUAAAAAUCUGUGAAAAGUUAAUGUGUCAUGCGUUGAGUUAUCUGUUAAAGAAGUGCUGAAUCAAAUAUGUAUAUGGAGCUUUCAUGACGUUGCUGCGAAGGAUUUGAAGGUAUUAAGAAAUUUAUCUUUAAAUGAAUGAAAUAACCGAUACAUGGAGAUUGUGCUUUCUCUUUUUUCUUUUGGUGUAUAAAAUUGAACAUCUUACUGACUUCAAAGAGAAAGAAAAUGGUGAACAUCUUGUGUUGCUGGACAGUGGAGUAGACGUUAUGAUAGUCCUACUCUCACGGAACUGCUGAAGUAUUUCAAUAGUGGAGAUUACGCUGUCAAAACUAUUUGCAGUUACUGUGAUGUUGGAAUGGGACUUGUCAUGAAAUAAAAAAGAAACAGCAUCAUAUCCUGGAUUGAGGAAAUACUAAACUAUCUACAAAGGAAAAUUGGCGAGAUAUUGAUUGCAUUAGUUGCAGACUUGCAGGAUCCUAUUAUGAGUUAGGCUUGACAUGUGUAGUGUAAAUGAAGAACAUGAUUCGGAAGCAGAGUUUUUUUUUCUUUUGCUAUCAUGAUAUACCUACUGAUAUGGCAUGUGUAUCGCAUUCUUGUUAUAUAAGAGCAUUGCUUUAUACUGUCAACUUUCAAUGUACUGGAAAGAUGAGUUAAACUGGUUCAGAUCCAAUGUACCUAAUAAGAAACUUUACUGAGAGAACAUGUAUGAAGAACAGAUGAUUGGAACUGCUAGGGCAUCAUCUGAUGUCUAACUUAUUAAUUCCUGCUUAGUAGGAGAGACAUUCUUCAAAUAUGUUCUGCAAUGAGAGAAAAAGGUCUUGAUAAUGACAUUAUAAAAAGGAAGUUGAUGGUUUUUAGAUUUU